Molecule: ribosomal RNA, 450 nt
Filed under: uncultured bacterium
Lineage: Bacteria
Description: bacterial SSU rRNA
Rfam family: Bacterial small subunit ribosomal RNA
Source: RNAcentral
AGCGAACGUUAGCGGCAGGCUUAACACAUGCAAGUCGAGCGAGAAAGGGGCUUCGGCCCUGAGUAAAGCGGCGGACGGGUGCGUAACACGUGGAUAAUCUGCCCUUCAGUGGGGAAUAACGUUCCGAAAGGAACGCUAAUGCCGCAUGUCACAGCAAUGUCUCUGGACAAAGUUGGAAAAGGGGACGCCCGCAAGGGGUUCUCGCUGGAGGAUGAGUCCGCGGCCCAUCAGCUUGUUGGCGGGGUAAUGGCCCACCAAGGCGAAGACGGGUAGCUGGUCUGAGAGGAUGACCAGCCACACUGGGACUGAGAUACGGCCCAGACUCCUACGGGAGGCAGCAGUGGGGAAUAUUGCACAAUGGGCGCAAGCCUGAUGCAGCGACGCCGCGUGGGGGAUGACGGCCUCGGUUGUAACUACUUCUAGCAGGACGAAGGGUGACGUGACGGUACC